CGCUAGUAAUCGCAGAUCAGCAUGCUGCGGUGAAUACGUUCCCGGGUCGUUGUACACACCGCCCGUCACACCAUGGGAGCCGGGAAUGCCCGAAGUCAGCGGCCCAACCGAAAGGAGGGAGCUGCCGAAGGCAGGCCUGGUGACUGGGGUGAAGUCGUAACAAGGUACC
This 169-nucleotide ribosomal RNA is filed under the name uncultured bacterium. RNAcentral's name for it is "partial 16S ribosomal RNA". It matches the Rfam family "Bacterial small subunit ribosomal RNA", at positions 1333 to 1500 of the family's 1533-position model. The record is from RNAcentral.